This 450-nucleotide ribosomal RNA is filed under the name uncultured bacterium. Its description in RNAcentral is "partial 16S ribosomal RNA". It matches the Rfam family "Bacterial small subunit ribosomal RNA", at positions 354 to 796 of the family's 1533-position model. The record is from RNAcentral.
GUGGGGAAUAUUCCGCAAUGGACGAAAGUCUGACGGAGCAACGCCGCGUGAGUGAUGAAGGUUUUCGGACUGUAAAGCUCUGUUGUUUAGGACGAAAGUGCCUGUUGCAAAUAGUUACAGGUAUUGACGGUACUGAACGAGGAAGCCACGGCUAACUACGUGCCAGCAGCCGCGGUAAUACGUAGGUGGCAAGCGUUGUCCGGAAUUAUUGGGCGUAAAGAGCAUGUAGGCGGGAAUCUAAGUCUGUUGUGAAAAUGCGGGGCUCAACCCCGUAGUGAGAUGGAAACUGGGUUUCUUGAGUGCAGGAGAGGAAAGGGGAAUUCCCAGUGUAGCGGUGAAAUGCGUAGAUAUUGGGAGGAACACCAGUGGCGAAGGCGCCUUUCUGGACUGUGUCUGACGCUGAGAUGCGAAAGCCAGGGUAGCGAACGGGAUUAGAAACCCGGGUAGUCC